ACGGUUCCAUUGUUGUGGGAAAGGUGGAAGUGGUGACAGCGCCUGGCGUUGCCUUGAGAACGCCAGGACUCACAGUAGCAAAAUGGGCCUCUCCCCGACGCCCCUCCUCCUCUUCUUCCUCCUCCCCGACCACAAAGCAAAGGGCACCCCUUCCUGGUGCAUGUGGGGGCAACAGGUGUCGGAUGUCCCAUCCAGGACUUUGCGGGGUCCGCUGAAGGACCCGUGGCGGAGACGGCCCCAAGUUCGUCAGAUUCCGCCUGUGUCUUCAGGAGGCUGGUGGAACAGAGAACAAGAUUGGAGUAGGAAAUGGGAGGCUCUUAAGUGGAAACUUACUGUUUUGUCCUUUUACAAGAAACUGGACAAUGGCUUAUUUCAGGAACAUGGAUGUCAUCAAUGUCACUGCCUUGCCAGUGGUGCCCGUGGAUGAGCACCUGACCGUCUCCCUCGGGUCACGGGAUGCGGUGAAAAAUGCCCUGAGGAAGAGUCUGGAGAACAACCCACCCUGCUGCCUUAUUGGCUCCAUACACCGGGUGAACCAAAGGAUUGCUGAG
Non-coding RNA from Leptonychotes weddellii (Weddell seal), 551 nucleotides. NCBI's taxonomy places the organism in Eukaryota, Metazoa, Chordata, Mammalia, Carnivora, Phocidae. The record is from RefSeq and is a predicted model, not a curated record.